CCGCGAAGGGCAGGUGCUCACCCCGCCACGCCUUGGAGGCGGCCAUCUCUGUCCUGUCCUUUGCGGGGACCUGCGGGGAAGUCGCAUCAGAAUGAAACAGCCACUCCCAUGGGGGUAGCAAGGAGCCCGAGCUCCAGCCUUGUGAGACACAGGCACCGGGCUGGAGACACCAAGUGAGCCUCGGCCUGGGACGUCAGGUGGGGCUCCGUAGUGAUGUGAAGUGUGGCCUUUGGUGGUCCCCACCCGCGGACCAGCUUCUCCGGGACUCUUCACGACAGCCCUGCUUUCCCAUAGCUGCCUGGAGGGCCGGCCUGACUCCUGACUGUACAUUUGUGUUUUGGGACAGACAGGGACCAAAUGGAAAAGAGAGAGAGGGGAGGAAGAGAGGGAGGGAGAGACAGAGACAGAGCAUUCACAGGCCCGAAUCUGUGCCAGCCACGAGAACAGAGACUUCUCAGCAGCCUUGCGGAGGCAUGGGCGCGGUGGCUGGCGGUGAGCAGGGCCGUCAGGACCUCGAGGUCCCGGGAUGUGUGGCCGAUGCCUGGCCCUGCGGUGGCUCCUCCAGCCUGAGAAGCUCGGUGGGGACACAGACAUGGAAGCAGGGGUGUCCUCCCUUCUUUCUGGAAGCAUUUUUACAGGGACAGCACUUGCGGCAAGCCUUGGUGCUGCCCCUUGGGGGCAUUUUCUGGGCAAAGGCUUUGAGGCCCAAGAGGCAGAAGACCCUUGUUAGAAAGGAGUUUGGAGACCCUUAAAGCAACGACCCUUGCUGCAGAAGCAUCUAUCAAGUCUAAAAAGUGCCUUAGUUACUUGUUACUAGACUGAUGCAAUGACAAGUUUUAACCAAUGUAGCCCACGGUAUGGACAAAGUCCUGACUAUUUUGUAUGAUUUUACAAUUUAAACAAAUUUUGUAAAUGCCUAUGCUUGCAUUUUUAAUGAUUUGGGCAUUUUAGGAUGUGGCCCGGAUUGCUGGAGUGGAAACCCCAGCCCCCCUGUGCUUUGGGAAAUACCCACUGGGGUGGAUGUUGGGGUGCUUGUUUAAGGGAUCCCUCUGUUUAUCCUGUUUGAAUCCUGUUACAGAGCUCAACUUUUAAAAAGUGACCAUGGGCUCCCAGGAGGUGAGAUUUCAUCAGCCGCCUCCUGCUGCGGCUCCUGGUGGCAUGACCUUUUGGAGGUUUUGAAUGGACAGAAGUAAAAUAAAUUAGGGCCAAGGCGUGCAGGAUGAGGCUUGUGGAGAGAGGACAGUCUCGGUUUCCCAUUUUCUGUCUGCGCACAGAAUUGCGUCUCAGCCCCUAUGCCUGGAACUUGAUCCUCUCCACCCUCUGGUGCCCUGAGACCGUGGAUCCGCAGCCAUCUGCCAAGGCCCAGCGCCUCUGUCCCAAGCCUGCUCUGCAGGGUGCAGCCUGGCCGCCUCCCGGGGAGAUGCAGACAGACUCCAGCAAC
Chinchilla lanigera (long-tailed chinchilla) is the source of this 1441-nucleotide long non-coding RNA. RefSeq lists it as uncharacterized. Lineage: Eukaryota; Metazoa; Chordata; Mammalia; Rodentia; Chinchillidae. The transcript is spliced from 2 exons. The record is from RefSeq and is a predicted model, not a curated record.